RNAcentral lists this ribosomal RNA (406 nucleotides) under uncultured bacterium. RNAcentral describes it as "partial 16S ribosomal RNA". It matches the Rfam family "Bacterial small subunit ribosomal RNA", at positions 30 to 526 of the family's 1533-position model. The record is from RNAcentral.
AUUGAACGCUGGCGGCAGGCCUAACACAUGCAAGUCGAACGAGUGGCGGACGGGUGAGUAAUGUCUGGGAAACUGCCCGAUGGAGGGGGAUAACUACUGGAAACGGUAGCUAAUACCGCAUACCAUCGGAUGUGCCCAUAUGGGAUGAGCUAGUUGGUGGGGUAACGGCUAACCUAGGCGACGAUCCCUAGCUGGUCUGAGAGGAUGACCAGCCACACUGGGACUGAGACACGGUCCAGACUCCUACGGGAGACAGCAGUGGGGAAUAUUGCACAAUGGGCGCAAGCCUGAUGCAGCCAUGCCGCGUGUAUGAAGAAGGCCGUCGGGUUGUAAAGUACUGUCAGCGAGGAGGCGUUACUCGCAGAGGAAGCAACGGCGAACUCCGUGCCAGCAGCCGCGGUAAUAC